This 460-nucleotide ribosomal RNA is filed under the name uncultured bacterium. RNAcentral describes it as "partial 16S ribosomal RNA". It matches the Rfam family "Bacterial small subunit ribosomal RNA", at positions 339 to 795 of the family's 1533-position model. The record is from RNAcentral.
CUACGGGGGGCACCAGUGAGGAAUAUUGGUCAAUGGGCGAAAGCCUGAACCAGCCAUGCCGCGUGCAGGAUUGACUGCCCUAUGGGUUGUAAACUGCUUUUCUGAGGGAAGAAACUUUCGAUCGUGAUCGAAACUGCCGGUACCUCAGGAAUAAGCAUCGGCUAACUCCGUGCCAGCAGCCGCGGUAAUACGGAGGAUGCAAGCGUUAUCCGGAUUUAUUAGGUUUAAAGGGUACGUAGGCGGGGCAUUAAGUCAGUGGUGAAAUCUUACCGCUUAACGGUAAAAUUGCCAUUGAAACUGAUACUCUUGAGUGUAGUUGAGGUUGGCGGAAUGUGUAGUGUAGCGGUGAAAUGCUUAGAUAUUACACAGAACACCGAUUGCGAAGGCAGCUAACUAAACUAUCACUGACGCUGAGGUACGAAAGCGUGGGGAGCGAACAGGAUUAGAUACCCUCGUAGUC